CAGGGCUUGACAUCCCGCGAACCCUGUGGAAACACGGGGGUGCCCGCAAGGGAGCGCGGAGACAGGUGGUGCAUGGUUGUCGUCAGCUCGUGUCGUGAGAUGUUGGGUUAAGUCCCGCAACGAGCGCAACCCCUGUCCCAUGUUGCCAGCGAUUCGGUCGGGGACUCAUGGGAGACUGCCGGUGACAAAUCGGAGGAAGGUGGGGAUGAUGUCAAGUCAUCAUGCCCCUUAUGUCCAGGGCUACACACGUGCUACAUUGGCCGGUACAAAGGGCUGCAAACCCGCGAGGGGGAGCGAAUCCCAAAAAGCCGGUCCCGGUUCGGAUUGGAGGCUGAAACUCGCCUCCAUGAAGUCGGAGUUGCUAGUAAUCGCGGAUCGGCAACGCCGCGGUGAAUAUGUUCCCGGGCCUUGUACACACCGCCCGUCACACCACGAAAGUCGGCAACACCCGAAGCCGGUGGCCUAACCCCUUGUGGGAGGGAACCGUCGAAGGUGGGGUUGAUGAUUGGGGUG
This 513-nucleotide ribosomal RNA is filed under the name uncultured bacterium. RNAcentral describes it as "bacterial SSU rRNA". It matches the Rfam family "Bacterial small subunit ribosomal RNA", at positions 975 to 1482 of the family's 1533-position model. The record is from RNAcentral.